RNAcentral lists this ribosomal RNA (209 nucleotides) under uncultured bacterium. RNAcentral's name for it is "partial 16S ribosomal RNA". It matches the Rfam family "Bacterial small subunit ribosomal RNA", at positions 568 to 776 of the family's 1533-position model. The record is from RNAcentral.
CGCGUAGGCGGUUUUGUUAGUCGAAUGUGAAAGCCCCGGGCUUAACCUGGGAAUUGCGUUCGAUACUGCAUAACUAGAGUACGGUAGAGGGAAGUGGAAUUUCGGGUGUAGCGGUGAAAUGCGUGGAUAUCCGGAGGAACACCAGUGGCGAAGGCGACUUCCUGGGCCAGUACUGACGCUGAGGUGCGAAAGCGUGGGGAGCAAACAAG